UCAUGCUGAGGACUCUAGUGAGACUGCCGUCGUAAGAUGUGAGGAAGGUGGGGACGACGUCAAGUCAUCAUGGCCUUUAUGCCCAGGGCUACACACGUGCUACAAUGAGCGGUACAGAGGGUUGCGACACAGCGAUGUGAAGCUAAUCUCAAAAAGCCGUUCUCAGUUCGGAUUGGAGUCUGCAACUCGACUCCAUGAAGUCGGAUUCGCUAGUAAUCGCAGAUCAGCCAUGCUGCGGUGAAUACGUUCCCGGACCUUGUACACACCGCCCGUCAAGCCAUGGGAGUUGGGUGUGCCUUAAGACGAUAACCGCAAGGAGUUGUCCAAGGUAAAACCGAUGACUGGGGCU
Molecule: ribosomal RNA, 349 nt
Filed under: uncultured bacterium
Lineage: Bacteria
Description: bacterial SSU rRNA
Rfam family: Bacterial small subunit ribosomal RNA
Source: RNAcentral